Molecule: long non-coding RNA, 1292 nt
Organism: Panicum virgatum (switchgrass)
Lineage: Eukaryota; Viridiplantae; Streptophyta; Magnoliopsida; Poales; Poaceae
Exons: 2
Source: RefSeq, a predicted model, not a curated record
ACUUCCUCAUUCCAUUCUCUCCCGCAGCCUUGGCCGCCGCCAGGCACCUGAUGCAAGCAGGCCACCGGCCCCCUCCCAUCUUCGGCGGCAGUGUCUCUCCGAGCUCCGGCCCUCCGCCCCCCUCUCCGGCAAGCCCCUGCCAAAGCCAUCAUCUGUCUCCACACGGGCCGCGCGGUCGACAGGCACCCCUGUUCUGCGCAUCCAAGGUAGCAGGGUCGCAGGGGGGCCGGUCAAGCUGCGAGGCAGCCGGCGGCUCCACCUCCGUUGUCCGCUCUGUGGCAGGUUGCAGCCCGCAAGGUAGCUGGCAAUACCUAUGUCAGUCGUCAGAUCCGGUAGUAGAUCUCAGCCUGGCAGCAUUUUCAGAUUGAUGUUUGCUUUAUACGUGGCAAGCCCAUAGAUGUAACAUAUGCAUCUUCAUCACAGUACUAGCAACAGGGCGCCAGAUGCAAGCAACAAUGAUGACAUGAAGCUGAAACUGUGAAGCAAGUGCACAACAAGGCAUAUAAAAUUCAAAGAAAAGAACAAUAUUAGUGGCUGAUUCACCAGAUAUGUUUGUAACUUGUUACUUGUGAUGUACUCCCUAUGUUUCAAAUUAUAAGUUAUUUCAAAAAUCUUGUAGAGUCAAAUCAUUUUAAAAUUUGACCAAAAUUAUAGAGAGAAACACAAAGAUUUAUGACAUCAAAUAUAUAUACUAUAAAAAUAUAGUUAACAAAAAAUUUAAUGAUACUUAUUAGUAUAUUAUCUUGUUAUAUAAAUUGGGUCAAACUUGAAAAAAUUUGACUCUUCAUGAUUUUUGAAAUGACUUAUAAUUUUGAACGGAGGGAGUAUAUUGUAUGGUGAUGAUUUGUAAUUUUUAGUAUGUCUGAAAUCUCAAUGAAAUAAGGUAUGGAUUAGUUUCAGCCCACGGGCCGGCCCGCGGGCCGUCGGGCCACGCGUCGGGCGGGCUCGGUCCAGGUUUUUUGGCCUGCUCCUCGGGUCAGGUUCGGGUUCGGGCCAGCAGAAAAUCAUAUCGGGUUGCUUUCGGCCCGAGCUGAACCCGGCCCGGCCCGUGAUAUGAUCAGGUAUACCGGCAGGCAACUACCGGCGGCAGGGUGCUCGGUGGUCCGUGCUCCCUGAUAGAUCCUCUCUGUGUCUCGCUCUCUCUGAUUAUACCAUCAUUCGGGAUGAUUAGUAUAUAUGUUGUGACGCAAUUGCGUUGUAUGAAAUUUCUUAAUAAGGCUCUCAUGGGUUGUAUGAAUGUAUAAGAAUUCCCCAGGAAAACUAACGUGAGGUCCAACCUCUGGUAAUCUUUU